AGCGAACGCUGGCGGCAGGCCUAACACAUGCAAGUCGAACGAACUCUUCGGAGUUAGUGGCGGACGGGUGAGUAACGCGUGGGAACGUGCCCCUUGGUACGGAAUAGCCCCGGGAAACUGGGAGUAAUACCGUAUGAGCUCUACGGAGGAAAGAUUAUCGCCAAGGGAUCGGCCCGCGUUGGAUUAGGUAGUUGGUGGGGUAAUGGCCUACCAAGCCGACGAUCCAUAGCUGGUUUGAGAGGAUGAUCAGCCACACUGGGACUGAGACACGGCCCAGACUCCUACGGGAGGCAGCAGUGGGGAAUCUUAGACAAUGGGCGCAAGCCUGAUCUAGCCAUGCCGCGUGAGCGAUGAAGGCCUUAGGGUUGUAAAGCUCUUUCAGCUGGGAAGAUAAUGACUGUACCAGCAGAAGAAGCCCCGGCUAACUCCGUGCCAGCCGCCGCCGUAA
Molecule: ribosomal RNA, 448 nt
Filed under: uncultured bacterium
Lineage: Bacteria
Description: partial 16S ribosomal RNA
Rfam family: Bacterial small subunit ribosomal RNA
Source: RNAcentral